Molecule: ribosomal RNA, 514 nt
Filed under: uncultured bacterium
Lineage: Bacteria
Description: bacterial SSU rRNA
Rfam family: Bacterial small subunit ribosomal RNA
Source: RNAcentral
AUUAUGGCUCAGGAUGAACGCUAGCUACAGGCUUAACACAUGCAAGUCGAGGGGCAGCAUUGGGAUAGCUUGCUAUUCAGAUGGCGACCGGCGCACGGGUGAGUAACGCGUAUCCAACCUUCCCUAUAGUAGAGAAUAGCCCGGCGAAAGUCGGAUUAAUGCUCUAUGUUGUGUUUUUGAGGACAUCUGACGAACACCAAAGGUUCACCGCUAUAGGAUGGGGAUGCGUCUGAUUAGCUUGUUGGCGGGGUAACGGCCCACCAAGGCGACGAUCAGUAGGGGUUCUGAGAGGAAGGUCCCCCACAUUGGUACUGAGACACGGACCAAACUCCUACGGGAGGCAGCAGUGAGGAAUAUUGGUCAAUGGGCGAGAGCCUGAACCAGCCAAGUAGCGUGCAAGGACGACUGCCCUAUGGGUUGUAAACUGCUUUUAUCAGGGAAUAAAGUGCGGCACGUGUGCCGUUUUGUAUGUACCUGAUGAAUAAGGACCGGCUAAUUCCGUGCCAGCAGCCGC